This 346-nucleotide ribosomal RNA is filed under the name uncultured bacterium. RNAcentral describes it as "partial 16S ribosomal RNA". It matches the Rfam family "Bacterial small subunit ribosomal RNA", at positions 338 to 681 of the family's 1533-position model. The record is from RNAcentral.
CCUACGGGUGGCAGCAGUGAGGAAUAUUGGUCAAUGGACGCAAGUCUGAACCAGCCAUGCCGCGUGCAGGAAGACGGCUCUAUGAGGUGUAAACUGCUUGUGUACGAGGGUAAACGGAGAUAAGCGUAUCUGUCUGAAAGUAGCGUACGAAUAAGGAUCGGCUAACUCCGUGACAGCAGCAGCGGUAAUACGGAGGAAUCAUGGGUUAUCCGGAUUUAUUGGGUUUAAAGGGUGCGUAGGCGGUUGGCGAAGUUAGAGGUGAAAUCCCGAGGCUCAACGGCGGAAUUGCCUCUGAUCCUGUUCGGCUAGAGUGUAGUUGCGGUAGGCGGAAUGUUUGGUGUAGCGG